CUUCCUCAAAAGGCUGAACCCAGGAAUGCUGGGAGCUUUUGGUUAACACCUUUAGACUAUUAGAAUCUGAAGAAGACUGCGAGCGAUCUGAAUGCAACACUCGGAGCACUCAAAUGUGAGCAGAAAUACAGCUUUUCAUGUAAACUAAGUGAAGAAGGGUCUUGCUUUGUUGCCCAGCCUAGCGUGCAGUGGUGUGACUCUAGCUCACUACAGCCUCUGACCUCCCAGGCAUAAGUGAUCCUCCUGCCUCAGCCUCCCACCAUCAGGACUGCAGGGAUGCGCCACUACAAUCAGUGAAUAUUUUUAAAAUUUAUUUUUGUGCAGAGACCGGGCCUUACUAUGUUGCCCAGGCUGGUUUUAAACUAAUGGGCUCAAGCUAUCCUCCUGCCUUGGCUUCCCAAAGUGCUGGAACUGCAGGCAAGAGCCACCAUGCCCAGCUUCUUCUCUCUUUUAACUUUAUUUGUACAUUGCCUUAAUCUUUCAGAACAAUGUUUAACAAUGAACAUAAUAA
This 511-nucleotide long non-coding RNA is filed under the name Homo sapiens (human). RNAcentral's name for it is "HSALNT0356730". The record is from RNAcentral. Lineage: Eukaryota; Metazoa; Chordata; Mammalia; Primates; Hominidae.